UCCAGACUGCAGACUGGAGACCCUCAGGAUCAGAGGAGGUGAGACGAUCAGAGCCACGAUCCAGAAGACCUGAACUCUGAGUCCUGCGGCAGGAAGCGGUCCUUCUCUCCAAGAACUCCUGGACCCAGGCCUGCAAGCUGGUCCAGAACCAGAGUCCAACCGGUCGACCUCGUAAAGUCAAACUAAACUACACAAUUAUUAAGGAUCAUGUUUAAAG
Long non-coding RNA from Trematomus bernacchii (emerald rockcod), 217 nucleotides. RefSeq lists it as uncharacterized. NCBI's taxonomy places the organism in Eukaryota, Metazoa, Chordata, Actinopteri, Perciformes, Nototheniidae. The transcript is spliced from 3 exons. The record is from RefSeq and is a predicted model, not a curated record.